This 417-nucleotide unclassified non-coding RNA is filed under the name Ascomycota sp. RNAcentral's name for it is "partial contains small subunit ribosomal RNA, internal transcribed spacer 1, and 5.8S ribosomal RNA". The stretch from base 1 to 47 matches the Rfam family "Eukaryotic small subunit ribosomal RNA", at positions 1785 to 1831 of the family's 1831-position model. The record is from RNAcentral. Lineage: Eukaryota; Fungi; Ascomycota.
AAAGUCGUAACAAGGUCUCCGUAGGUGAACCUGCGGAGGGAUCAUUAACACGUAUCCAAAACGUACCCAAAACCCAAACCGGUCUCAAAAUUCCUCCCACGGGGCACCGUCAGCAAGCCAAAUAGGUGGUUUCUCCGCAAGGGGACUCGCUUGUGACGUACAGUGAAAAGCUAAGUGUCACGUCGGCAAGAGUAGCGUAAGUCACCUGGCUACCAGGUACAUCCCAGGAAGUUGUAGAGCUCUUCGGAUAUUAAGUUAACCGAAUCUCUAUAUAUGAUACAAGGAUAUCUGGUAGCCCUAUUGAACCCAAACCCCUUAUACAAUUUUACUGAAAUUACUUCAACUAUGGACUUUCGGGUCUGCAUUGAAUGUAUACGAAAUAACGAACAACUCUUAGCAACGGAUAUCUUGGUUCUC